This 413-nucleotide ribosomal RNA is filed under the name uncultured beta proteobacterium Ba10-2. Its description in RNAcentral is "bacterial SSU rRNA". It matches the Rfam family "Bacterial small subunit ribosomal RNA", at positions 211 to 615 of the family's 1533-position model. The record is from RNAcentral. Lineage: Bacteria; Pseudomonadati; Pseudomonadota; Betaproteobacteria.
CCUUGCGCUUUGGGAGCNGCCGAUGUCUGAUUAGCUAGUUGGUNNGGUAAAGGCUUACCAAGGCGACGAUCAGUAGUUGGUCUGAGAGGACGACCAGCCACACUGGGACUGAGACACGGCCCAGACUCCUACGGGAGGCAGCAGUGGGGAAUUUUGGACAAUGGGCGCAAGCCUGAUCCAGCAAUGCCGCGUGAGUGAAGAAGGCCUUCGGGUUGUAAAGCUCUUUCAGUCGAGAAGAAAAGACUGCAGUGAAUAACUGCAGUUCAUGACGGUAUCGACAGAAGAAGCACCGGCUAACUACGUGCCAGCAGCCGCGGUAAUACGUAGGGUGCGAGCGUUAAUCGGAAUUACUGGGCGUAAAGGGUGCGCAGGCGGCUUUGUAAGUCAGAUGUGAAAUCCCCGGGGCUUAACCU